ACUCAAAGGAAUUGACGGGGGCUCGCACAAGCGGUGGAGCAUGCGGUUUAAUUCGAUGCUACGCGAAAAACCUUACCAACCCUUGACAUGGUGAUCGCGGGGUGCGGAGACGCACUCCUUCAGUUCGGCUGGAUCACACACAGGUGUUGCAUGGCUGUCGUCAGCUCGUGUCGUGAGAUGUUGGGUUAAGUCCCGCAACGAGCGCAACCCUCAUCCUUAUUUGCCAGCGGUUAGGCCGGGAACUAUAAGGAAACUGCCGGUGAUAAGCCGGAGGAAGGUGGGGACGAUGUCAAGUCAUCAUGGCCCUUACGGGUUGGGCUACACGCGUGCUACAAUGGUAUCUACAGAGGGAAGCAAGACAGCGAUGUGGAGCAAAUCCUUAAAAGAUAUCUCAGUUCGGAUUGCACUCUGCAACUCGAGUGCAUGAAGUUGGAAUCGCUAGUAAUCGCGGAUCAGAAUGUCGCGGUGAAUACGUUCUCGGGCCUUGUACACACCGCCCGU
This 501-nucleotide ribosomal RNA is filed under the name uncultured bacterium. Its description in RNAcentral is "partial 16S ribosomal RNA". It matches the Rfam family "Bacterial small subunit ribosomal RNA", at positions 899 to 1397 of the family's 1533-position model. The record is from RNAcentral.